Non-coding RNA from Tinamus guttatus (white-throated tinamou), 226 nucleotides. The record is from RefSeq and is a predicted model, not a curated record. Lineage: Eukaryota; Metazoa; Chordata; Aves; Tinamiformes; Tinamidae.
ACUUCUCUCACUCCCAAUAGUCUUUAAAUAUUAACUCUAGUUUGUCAGGAUGAACUGCUAUAUUUGUUCUCCGCACAUCCUGCUGGAAGGGUAUCUUAUAGUGACAGUAUCAUUUCACAGGCUCUGUGAUGCAAAUUCUGUACUUGAGCCCAACGGUUCAAGCAUAAAAAUACUCAACUAAGAUUAUGGUGGACUAGUUCAUUUCAGUGCUAGGUGAGUGAUGAGG